This 1439-nucleotide ribosomal RNA is filed under the name Candidatus Typhincola belonochilicola. RNAcentral describes it as "bacterium endosymbiont of Belonochilus numenius 16S ribosomal RNA". It matches the Rfam family "Bacterial small subunit ribosomal RNA". The record is from RNAcentral. Lineage: Bacteria; Pseudomonadati; Pseudomonadota; Gammaproteobacteria; Enterobacterales; Enterobacteriaceae.
AUUGAACGCUAGCGGCAGGCCUAACAAAUGCAAGUCGAGCGGUAGCACAAGAGAGCUUGCUCCCCGGGUGACGAGCGGCAGACGGGUGAGUAAUGUCUGGGAAACUGCCUGAUGGAGGGGGAUCACUACUGGAAACAGUAGCUAAUACCGCAUAACGUCGUAAGACCAAAGCGGGGGACCUUCGGGCCUCACGCCACCAGAUGUGCCCAGAUGUGAUUAACUAGUAGGUGGGGUAAUGGCUCACCUAGGUGACGAUCCCUAGCUGGUCUGAGAAGAUGACCAGCCACAUUGGAACGGAGACACGGUCCAAGCCUCCUAGGGGAGGCAGCAGUGGGGAAUAUUGCACAAUGGGCGCAAGCCUGAGGCAGCCAUGCCGCGUGUGUAAAGAAGGCUUUCAAGUUGUAAAGCGCUUUCAGCGAUGAGGAAAGCAGCAAGGUUAUUAACCUUGCUGAUUGACGUUAUUCGCAGAAGAAGCACCGGCUAACUCCGUGCCAGCAGCCGCGGUAAUACAGAGGGUGCAAGCGUUAGUCGGAAUGACUGGCCGUAAAGCGCACGCAAGCGGUUUGUUAAGUUGGAUGUGCAAUCCCCCGGGCUUAACCUGGGAACUGCAUUCAACACUGGCAAGCUAGAGUCUCGUAGCUAGAGUCUCGUAGAGAGGUAUAAAAUUCCAGGUGUAGCGGUGAAAUAAGUAAAGAUCUGGAGGAACACCGGUGGCGAAGGCAGUCCCAUGGACGAAGACUGACGCUCAGGUGCGAAAGCGUGGGAAGCAAACAGGAUUAUAUACCCUGGUAAUCCACGAUGUAAACGAUGACGAUUUGGAGGUUGUGCCAUUGAGGCGUGGCUUCCAGAGCUAACGCGUUAGACCGACCGCCUGGGGCGAGUACAGCCGCAAGGUUAAAACGCAAAUGAAUUGACGGGGCCCGCACAAGCGGUGGAGCAUGUGGUUUAAUUCGAUGCAACACAGAAAUACGAAUGUGCCUUCGGGAACUCUGAGACAGGUGCUGAAUGGCUGUCGUCAGCUCGUGUUGUGAACUGUUGGGUUAAGUCCCGCAACGAGCGCAACCCUUAUCCUUUGUUGCCAGCGAUUCGUUCGAGAACUCAAAGGAGACUGCCAGUGAUAAACUGGAGGAAGAUAGGGAUGACGUCAAGUCAUCAUGGCCCUUACGAGUAAGGCUACACACGUGCUACAAUGGCGUAUACAAAGAGAAGCGACCUCGCGAGAGCAAGCAGACCUCAUAAAGUACGUCGUAGUAAAGAUUGUAGUCUGCAACUCGAUUCCAUGAAGGCGGAAUCGCUAGUAAUCGUAGAUAAGUAUGCUACGGUGGAUACGUUCCCGGGCCUUGUACACACCGCCCGUCACACCAUGGGGGUGGGUUGCAAAAGAAGUAGGUAGCUUAACCUUCGGGAGGGCGCUUACCACUUUGUAAUUCAUGACUGGG